Molecule: transfer RNA, 29 nt
Filed under: Euglenaria anabaena
Lineage: Eukaryota; Euglenozoa; Euglenophyceae; Euglenales; Euglenaceae
Description: partial tRNA-Arg
Source: RNAcentral
GUUACAGUCGCCUAAUGGAAGGGCUACAA